Neofelis nebulosa (Clouded leopard) is the source of this 108-nucleotide small nuclear RNA. NCBI's taxonomy places the organism in Eukaryota, Metazoa, Chordata, Mammalia, Carnivora, Felidae. The record is from RefSeq and is a predicted model, not a curated record.
GUGCUCGCUUUGGCAGCACAUAUACUAAAAUUGGAACGAUACAGAGAAGAUCCGCAUGGCCCCUGCGCAAGGAUGACACGCAAAAAAAAAAAGAAAGAAAAAAAAUCA